RNAcentral lists this long non-coding RNA (579 nucleotides) under Homo sapiens (human). Its description in RNAcentral is "long intergenic non-protein coding RNA 882". The record is from RNAcentral. Lineage: Eukaryota; Metazoa; Chordata; Mammalia; Primates; Hominidae.
AGUCUUGCAUAUGUCUUUUUCUGCUACAGAUGGUACAAUGGUUGAUUUGGUACAAGGAUCAUACCAAAUAUGUAUGCAGGAAGCCAAAAAAUAGAAUCAAAUCAAACAUGAUUUUAUAGUUGUUAUUAUUCCUAAAAAUAUCUGUGCUCCUGUAGGCAUAUGUCUUAGAUAGGAGAAUGCUGUUGGAAUUUCUGGUCUCUGCAUUGAGGGGCUGUUGGUCUUUUGGAAAGAUGUGCUUAUUGAAUGGGACAAGCUUGCCCCAAGAGGCAUUGCUAGGGCUGCUCCCAGACCUACUUGUGAUUCAAGGCUGUGCUUCUCCUCUGCACGUGAGACAGACUGCUGUGAUUGCACCUGCCAUCUUAUGCAGAAAUGACCUGAAGACAGACUGAAACAACGUGUUCUACAGCCUGAAAAUAUCUACCUUGACUUACAGUUUUAUUAAUGCUGGUGUGAUCAGACUGGACAAAAAUUAGCAUAUGUUAUUAACUGAUCUAAUUCAAGUGCCAAUUCUUAAUAGAAACACAAAACAAUAAAAGCAAUUCAGAAAAUAUUUACUAUUUGAUUUCUUCAAGCUCCAAA